This 486-nucleotide ribosomal RNA is filed under the name uncultured bacterium. RNAcentral describes it as "bacterial SSU rRNA". It matches the Rfam family "Bacterial small subunit ribosomal RNA", at positions 29 to 507 of the family's 1533-position model. The record is from RNAcentral.
AUGAACGCUAGCUACAGGCUUAACACAUGCAAGUCGCGGGGCAGCAUGUCGGUUGCUUGCAACCGAUGAUGGCGACCGGCGCACGGGUGAGUAACGCGUAUCCAACCUGCCCUUGUCCAUCGGAUAACCCGUCGAAAGGCGGCCUAACACGAUAUGCGGUUCUCAGCAGGCAUCUAACGAGAGCGAAAUGUGAAGGAGAAGGAUGGGGAUGCGUCUGAUUAGCUUGUUGGCGGGUAACGGCCCACCAAGGCGACGAUCAGUAGGGGUUCUGAGAGGAAGGUCCCCCACAUUGGAACUGAGACACGGUUCAAACUCCUACGGGAGGCAGCAGUGAGGAAUAUUGGUCAAUGGACGCAAGUCUGAACCAGCCAAGUAGCGUGCAGGAUGACGGCCCUAUGGGUUGUAAACUGCUUUUAUGCGGGGAUAAAGUGUGGGACGUGUCCCAUAUUGCAGGUACCGCAUGAAUAAGGACCGGCUAAUUCCGUG